CUCUUUUGUGAUAGCAUGAACUAUACUAACAAUCUUCUACAUUCUUGAAUUUGCCUGGCCACACCCUUUAUGACAUCAUGAAUUGCCUUACCACUUUGGAAUGUCAACUAAUGCCUUCAUACUACUCCAAUCAUUGCCAAUUUCUUUGUAUCAUGUCCAAUGUAUUAACCUCAUUCAGGACUGUAGCCUAGGAUGGGAUGUGGAAAGCAAAUUUGUAUGGCUCCACAAAAGGAACCCAAAAUUUAGCACCGACAAGCCCAGAUCAGGGGGAUUAACAGUGGUCUAAGUCAGUCAUGACCAUCACACUCCCUUCUGCCAGAUACUGACUCUCCCAUCAUAUCUUGAAGGUCCUUCUGCUGCUUCCUCCAUCCUCAUGUUUUUCCUACUUUUGGAUGUGGUCAUGAUUCAUGAUGUCAGGAAGUAUGACAGCCAUCUUUCAACUUUCCAUAAACUUGAAGAUGAAAAGCCAGAGCCCAGAAAAGGAAAAAGACUGUGAUGAUACUGUUUAGCAACUGAAGCAAUGCCAACAACUACCUACCUCCAAACUUACUUUUAUGAUAGAAAGUUAAACUUCAAUUCACUGAAGCCUCUGUCAUCAGGUUUUACAUCAUUUUAGGUGAAUAAAGAUACAGAAUAUGGAA
This is a long non-coding RNA of Odocoileus virginianus texanus, 641 nucleotides long. RefSeq lists it as uncharacterized. The record is from RefSeq and is a predicted model, not a curated record. Lineage: Eukaryota; Metazoa; Chordata; Mammalia; Artiodactyla; Cervidae.